Molecule: transfer RNA, 66 nt
Filed under: Nicotiana sylvestris (wood tobacco)
Lineage: Eukaryota; Viridiplantae; Streptophyta; Magnoliopsida; Solanales; Solanaceae
Also listed under: 1 other name
Rfam family: tRNA
About the family: Transfer RNA (tRNA) molecules are approximately 80 nucleotides in length. Their secondary structure includes four short double-helical elements and three loops (D, anti-codon, and T loops). Further hydrogen bonds mediate the characteristic L-shaped molecular structure. tRNAs have two regions of fundamental functional importance: the anti-codon, which is responsible for specific mRNA codon recognition, and the 3' end, to which the tRNAs corresponding amino acid is attached (by aminoacyl-tRNA synthetases). tRNAs cope with the degeneracy of the genetic code in two manners: having more than one tRNA (with a specific anti-codon) for a particular amino acid; and 'wobble' base-pairing, i.e. permitting non-standard base-pairing at the 3rd anti-codon position.
Source: Rfam by way of RNAcentral
ACGGGGAUAGCUCAGUUGGGAGAGCGUCAGACUAAAGAUCUGAAGGUCACAUGUUCAUUUCACGCA